RNA transcript from Columba livia (rock pigeon), 6917 nucleotides. It is a transcript of the gene named CYFIP related Rac1 interactor A, with no coding region annotated. NCBI's taxonomy places the organism in Eukaryota, Metazoa, Chordata, Aves, Columbiformes, Columbidae. The record is from RefSeq and is a predicted model, not a curated record. The transcript is spliced from 11 exons.
CCUUUGAUUUGCCUCACCUUUUUUGUAUGUUUUAAUUGUGUCCUGCAAUCUGCGAAUCAGUUAACAGCACAAGCUCUUGGCUUGAAGUGUUGCUUAUCUAGGAAUUGUAAUAAAAUGAUUGUUCAAAGCAGAAAUGAUUCUUUUAUCUUGAGUUACUUUCACCUCAAGCAACUUUUUUCUCUUAUUAUGCUUUUCACUUCUUUACAUUUGUUUUUGGGGUUUGAGUUUUGUUGGGGUGGUUUUUGCAUCGCUUGCAUGAAGAAUGUGUGGCACUGUUUUUUCUUCACUUGUGUGUAGGUUGUUUCUUGGUGCAUCUUGUUAUAUGAAUAUGUUACUUACAUUAUGAAAAUCUUAUAAAGCCAGUACACAUUUUUUUUCUUAAAAAUGCAGUUUUAUUUCUAAAAUAAAGUCCAUAGAGGAAUAAUACCACUUUGCAAAUAUAACAUCUAUUUGCACAACUAUCUGUUAAAUAUCAGCUGCUAUAUUUCUCUUUAUCAAUGCAACUACAGUUUAUAAAAUCUAAACAUUUACGAGUAAAAUAAGUGUAGGUAAUUAUACUACUAUAUCCAUGAAAAUAUGUUUAACUGUAAGAAAAUUGGAGAGAUGAUUUAAAAAAAACCCUAUGUGGAGUUAGAUGGGGAUACAUAUAAGGUGCUGUAUAGAAGCAGGAUGAAUGAAAAACCAAAAUGCAGAAGGGGAAGCAAUGAGUGAAACGAAACUGUACAAAUAGUAUUUGAGGGAAAAGCACAGUUUUCUGCAAGACACGAUUCCUUCUUUAUAAGGCACCAUACUUGGAUGCAUUUGGAGCACUCUACUGAGAGUUGAGUGGAAUUUGUACCCCUUGCAGAGGUUUCUGAGAAGGGCAGUGAGACUGGUCAGGUGUAAUAAAAUGUGCACUGUCGUGAUUGAGUUUAAGGAGCUUUUUGAAGAGCUUUAAGCAGAGUUCAGACAAACAUCAGUGCAGAAUGACAGAGCUUCUGCUGUUUCUGUUUUGGGGUCUAGAUAAGCCCAAGUGUAACAGUUUUAUAGCAGUGCUGUCAAUGUGAAUCAAAAUGCUUCCCUGUUUAUUGCAUAGAAGAGAGAAAAUGAAAAAAGCAGAAAAAAACCAUUCGUAAUAGAGUGUGCUAAUGCAAUUAAAAAUUACGUUUCAUAUCUUCUUUCUUCUCCCAAACAAAAACCAGUGGGUGACACAGGGUUUCCUUCAGAAAACAAAGUAGAUGAUCAUUAUUCAAAAACUUCUGCUCUUUUUAAUAUUUAUUCAUUUUUGUUUUAUUCCUUAAUAAAAUAAAGCCAUUCUCUGAGUCUUGCUCUUCUGCUGUUCUAAGCACCUCAACAAACUUUAUAGCGAUGAAUAUCACAACGAUUUGGAGUCGUGCUUUUGAUGUGAGAGAUCUUGAGUUCAGAUGCUGGUGAUUUUUUGAAACCACGGUUAAUUAUUCAUCAGUAAGAUCAGUUCCACAGCUUUAAUGGCGCUAAUAUGCUUCGUGCAAUACAGUUCCCUCAGACUGCGGAUGGGAUGCCUGUCUCUGCCCAUGCAGAUGUGCCAUUAGGGAUUAUCUUUCCUAAUCAUUGAUUGCCACUCCUGAACUUGGGAGUCUCUGUUUCUCCUGAAACUCCCGAUGGAGCCGCUCAUGAGAACACUCCCAGCCCUGCUUCGUUAGGGAGAUCUAAAUGAGUUUAAGCAGUAGGUAUUUGCUGAUCCAGCUCAUUUUGAUGCAAGCCUUUCUGUUUAUGUAAGCAGGCAGAUUUAGGAAAAUAGUAUCUGGCAAAGAAGCAGUGGUGAGGAGCAAAGGGUUGAGCUGGAGAAUGUGGCUUUUUUCGCUAAAACCAGGUUUAAACGCUUUGUCUGUCGUACCUUCAGUGUAACUGCAGUGAUGCUGAUGGCUGUGGUUGGAAUUGAUUAAAUUAGUCCCAUAAAGGAAGAAGAAAUAAAUUAGUACUUCUGUAGCAAUUUAUGUAGUGCUAUAGCUAGCAUUUACAAAAUAAUGCAAAACUCCACACUUCAAAAUUAUGUAAUUGCUUAAAACUGUGUGUAAACAAAUAUUUUAAAGAGUUAAAUGACAUGAGAUUUAUCCUUAGGCAUGCGAUAUUUAUUAGAUAAUACCCAGUUUGUGAACAUUUACUAAAUUUUCAAAACUCUUUUAGUAUACAAUAAAUACGUAUUUCAGUAUAUUUCUGGUAUAUGUGUAUAAAAUCCAUAUCAGAUUUGAAAGGUUGCGUUUUGAUUUGUUUUGAGGGGAUAGUAUUUUAUCCAUCAGAAUUCAAAAAUAAAUUGAUCAUUUUAGUGGAGGAGAAGGAGCUUAUUUUCCCAUCCUAUAUAAUGCCUGUAAAAUGUCAAAAUUAUAUUAAUGAAAUUUUAGGAACAAAGUGGUAUGUUAGAAAACCAGCCUGUGUUACUUUGUUCAGAGCUCAGCAUUUUGAAAAAAUUGCCUGAAUAAUGGUAUAUAAAAAUGGAAAAUGCUAAAUGUACCUUCUUGUUCAUAACUGUUUUUACAGUUCAAUGUCUGUGUGCUGCUAAUUAAAUACUGAGCAUCAAAAAUUGACUAAUGAGCUUUAAACUGUCAAUAUUAUGCUAGAAAGUAUUUUCUGUAUGUUUAUGUAAUAUCUUAGAGUAAACUUUAAUGUCUUGGAAAACAGUAGAAAACAAGAAAAUAUCAUUGUCAUGUCAACAUGUCAUCAUUUUUAAAGCAGACUGUUAAGUUGGGAUUUCAGGGGGUUGGGACACUAAAGAGAAGCUGCUGAGAUUUAGGAGUGCUGCAACAGCAAGUUUUUUAUAUGUGCAUUGUGUCUCAUUCCAACAUUUAAACUGGUUUAACAGUAAGUAAAACAAAAUGCUUUCCAGUUUAAUGAAAUGGAAUUUUAUGGUCUUCAGUUAAACCUUUCUGUUUCGCUCCUGUGCAUCAGCUGUUUAUUUGCGUAUCUGUUAACAACUGCAGUGUGUAUACUGACCUGCUCAGAAUUUGUGUCAUUAGUUACUUUGAAGUAUCAUUAAAAAUUUUCCUGGAAGGUGCUUGUAGAUGCUGAGGUUAGGAAUACAUUGUUAGAGUUUCCAGGAGAAGACAAUUUAGAAAAUCCAGGUACUGGGAAACAGCAAGCCAUAAAGAAAAAAUAAUCCAUUUUGGGGCAAGGGAGUAUAUUUAUUAGCACUUAGAUUAAGGUGAAGGUUGACCUUUUAAUGCAGAGUUAAAAACUGAGUGUUGAAUGAUGGGUUAUAGUUUAACAUAAAAGUUUCUUGAAACGUUUAGGUUUGUUUUUUUUGUUUUUUUUUUUUUAAGAAGCCAGAAAUUACUUCAAAUCAUAAAGAAGUAAAGUAUGUUUAGCAGCUGCCUGAACCAUAUCUUCUAGAUGUUGAUGUUGAAUAUCACUAUUUUGGGGGGCUGAUGUACAUCAGAAAUUGUGUCAAACCAGUGCCUUCGAGAUCCUUGGAAAAUGAUGCAGACCGACCAUGAAAAUGGGAAUAAAGUUUGUGGCAGUGCUCUUGUUUCAUACUUGCGACCCGAAUAGCUGCAUCAGUUGCUACAGCGAGACUGAAGGAGAGGGGAACAAAAUGAAAAGCAAGCUAAGAAAUAUAGUCAAAAAUCAGGAAAAAGUACUCAAUCUCCAGAGCCGUAGGAAGGAUUGGAGCUCGGGCACAUGCCCUGGAGCUGCUGGGAGCAGGUGAGGCCGCGGAUCCGCAGGUUUUUGGCAGGAGGGCUUCCCGGCUGGCGGGAGGAGCCGCAGGCCCAGCCCCGCGCCGGCUGCAGCGCCCGCCUUGGCAGCAGAAGAAAUGGUUGGAGACUCUCUGAAGAUCGAAGGCAAUGAGGUUUGCUGGGAUGGGUAAUCUUCUUAAGGUCCUUACCAGGGAAAUUGAAAACUAUCCACAUUUUUUCCUGGAUUUUGAAAAUGCGCAGCCCACAGAUGGAGAAAGGGAGGUAUGGAACCAAAUCAGUGCAGUUUUGCAGGACUCGGAAAGUAUGCUUGCAGACCUUCAGGCUUACAAAGGAGCUGGACAAGAAAUUAGAGAUGCAAUACAAAAUCCCAAUGAUAUCCAGUUGCAAGAAAAAGCCUGGAAUUCAGUAUGUCCUCUGGUUGUAAGGCUGAAGCGCUUUUAUGAGUUUUCACUCAGAUUAGAGAAAGCCCUGCAGAGCUUAUUGGAGUCCUUGACGUGCCCACCUUAUACUCCAACCCAGCACCUGGAACGGGAACAGGCUCUAGCGAAAGAGUUUGCAGAAAUCUUACAUUUUACUCUUCGUUUUGAUGAACUUAAGAUGAGAAACCCAGCAAUUCAGAAUGACUUCAGUUAUUAUAGGCGGACAAUAAGUCGCAACAGAAUAAACAACAUGCAUCUAGACAUUGAGAAUGAAGUGAACAAUGAAAUGGCUAAUAGGAUGUCCCUGUUUUAUGCAGAAGCCACACCAAUGCUGAAAACACUCAGUAAUGCAACUACACAUUUUGUAUCAGAAAACAAAACAUUGCCAAUUGAAAAUACAACGGACUGUCUAAGUACUAUGGCUAGUGUAUGUAAAGUCAUGUUGGAAACACCGGAAUACAGGAGUAGAUUCACCAGUGAAGAGACCCUUAUGUUCUGCAUGCGAGUAAUGGUGGGAGUUAUUAUUCUGUACGAUCACGUUCAUCCUGUGGGAGCUUUCUCAAAGACAUCGAAGAUUGAUUGGCAUGCUUCUGUUCCCAGAUGAAGGGAUGCAUAAAGGUUUUAAAGGAGCAACCACCUGACACUGUGGAAGGACUUCUGAAUGCUCUCAGGUUCACUACAAAACACCUGAAUGAUGAAUCUACUUCAAAACAAAUUCGAGCUAUGCUGCAGUAGUAUCCUGAGACAAGUAGAUGUUUGUAUUGAUCACAGAAGAUGUGUAUGUUUACAUAAUUUAAUACAGUUUGAUGUUAAUACUUGUGUGUAUUUACAUAACCAUUUUCUCCACGUUGCUAAAAUAUAUGAAUCUGUUCAUAACCUGACUGACUUUAUAUAGUGCAGCCUAAGUUUUUAUGCUAGUCUUUAUCUUUUGACUUCUAAAAUACUUUUUUACUUAGAUACUUCAGUUACAACAGUUUAUCUGUGCAUUUUAAUCCUUAAACACCUUCUCUAUCAGAGAAGUAAGUAGUAGUAAAGACAAAAUAGAAAUCAAACAAACUGAAAUGUCAAAGAUACCAUAGAAAAAGAACUUUAAAGAAGGAGGAAGUUAAUGUAAGAGAAAGUAAAAUUCGUUGGAUAUGUUUUAAGAACAUCUGCACAGUAUUUUAGUCAGUUUUAGGAUCUCAUCAAACUACUAUGAAUAGAAGAAAACCUGAAUGUUUAUCAGUCUCAUAAAAUACAUUGUCUUUCCUGUAAGAAGUGUAGAUCCACCUAAUUUUAAGGAUUAGGUGCUGGCUGAGAUCCAAAAACAUAUUGCAAAGAUGUCAGUUUACCUUUUUUAUUAAGUAUAACCUGUCCCUCUCAACUGUUGAGGAAAUCAGUAUCCUUUUUCAGGUUCAAUAUAAAUAAAUGGAAAAAAUGUUUUAAGACCAUUGCUAGAUUUUGAAAAUUCUGUAUAAUUUUAUUAGAUUUAGAAAGGAAAGGGAAAAUACUAAUGCCUUGACUUAAAUAGAAAAGAUUUGUCAGUGUAAAUAUAUCAUGAUGAACAUUCUCUCAGACAGCUCUACUCGGUAAGUUCUUUGCUGAUAAAACCAGUAUAAAGCAGAAUGCUCCACUGUAGCAGCAAACUUCCCUAGUGUCAAAUUAGCCUCAUCAAACUAGGGAUGAUAUAAACAGGUUUUAAGAGCUGAGCUGUUAGUCACUCCAUCAAGUUCCUUGAUAGUAUUAUUCAAUAGAUGAUUCGGAGUCAACACAGAAACGUUUAUCAGCUGAUUGCUCUUCCUUGGCAUUUGAGAUGUGAUUGAUACUUCAAGGGAUUGAUUUCCUUGCCAAGUUAUCAUUUCUAGUAAUUUUUCCAGUAAAUGGAAUAGAAAUACUUUGCCAGAAGCAGGAAAGUGCUUGUGCUCUGUUAAGUGUGUCUUCUGGGUGGCCUGCAGAUGCUGUACAUAUUCUUGCAGAGGUCACGUUCUGAAAAUGUGUUUGGUUUUGUGUACUUUGCUUGCAUGUGUGUGUGAAAACUCCAGUGCUUGUGCACAGAUUCAGAUUUGUAUUUGCUUAUUCCUGUGUACAUAAAUCAGGGUUUGUGUCAUCACUGGAAUUUUCACGCAUAUCACUUUUAAAAACAUUACCGUAAAACUUUGGAAAUGCAUUUGGUCUGCUGAAACUCGGCUGCACUGUGACAAAUUCAGUCGUUGAACUGAGUCCUUAAAUGGUAUUAAUAUCAAAAGUUCUUUGGAGUAGGAAUUGCCUUAGAGUUCAUUUCUGAGCAGAACUACCACUAUGAGGUUUCUCAAGCCUGAUCAGACCCCAGAGGUGCCAACGUUACAUGUGUCAUGGUACUGGACAGCACUGCAACUCCAGCGUUCACGUCACACAUCUGCAGUUGUAGCAGCAGAUCACUGUGUUGUUGUCAGGAGCAGAAUUAGACGUCACGCUAGUUAUUUUCUUUGUCUGGAAGCAGCAAUCACACUGCUUUUUCACAGUAGUAAAUCCACUGUUUACAAACUCCAUUUUUGAUGGGGGGACACUUACAAAUGUAUAUUAGGGGAAAUCCUGCUUUGCUCAUAGUCACUUCCAGUUAGGUAAAUCUUGGUGGAUAACAGGUCAUUCUGUUGAGCUUUGGUAACUGAAGUUAAUACAUGCUUUACCCAUGGUUAUUGGUCAAGCGAUGAAGUCUUACCUUUGAGUAGCCCAAAGGAAAGCUCUUUGUCACUUGUAUAAUAAAAAUGUAAACCUUAAAGCAUUCUGCGAGUCGUCAUGUGCUGUUUGCCCAGGUCACUGAAUUUCUUUGCCUGCUCUCAUGUUUUUGUACAGAAGUGUGUUUAAAAUAAUAAAAAGUUUGGUACAGUAA